UGGGGAAUAUUGGACAAUGGGGGGAACCCGUCGAUCCAGCCAUGCCGCGUGUGUGAAGAAGGCCUUUGGUUGUAAAGCACUUUAAGCGAGGAGGAGGAGCUUCAGGUUAAUACCCUGGAUGCUUGGACGUUACUCGCAGAAUAAGCACCGGCUAACUCUGUGCCAG
RNAcentral lists this ribosomal RNA (166 nucleotides) under uncultured bacterium. RNAcentral describes it as "partial 16S rRNA". It matches the Rfam family "Bacterial small subunit ribosomal RNA", at positions 355 to 511 of the family's 1533-position model. The record is from RNAcentral.